RNAcentral lists this ribosomal RNA (506 nucleotides) under uncultured bacterium. RNAcentral describes it as "partial 16S ribosomal RNA". It matches the Rfam family "Bacterial small subunit ribosomal RNA", at positions 29 to 523 of the family's 1533-position model. The record is from RNAcentral.
AGUGAACGCUGGCGGUAGGCCUAACACAUGCAAGUCGAACGGCAGCACAGGAGAGCUUGCUCUCUGGGUGGCGAGUGGCGGACGGGUGAGGAAUACAUCGGAAUCUACUUUUUCGUGGGGGAUAACGUAGGGAAACUUACGCUAAUACCGCAUACGACCUACGGGUGAAAGCAGGGGAUCUUCGGACCGUGCGCGAUUGAAUGAGCCGAUGUCGGAUUAGUUAGUUGGCGGGGUAAAGGCCCACCAAGGCGAGGAUCCGUGGCUGGUACGAGGAGAAUGAUCAGCCACACUGAAACUGGGACACGGUCCGGACUCUUACGGGAGGCAGAAGGGGGGAAUUUUGACGAAGGGGCGAAAGCCUGAUCCAGCCAUACCGCGUGGUGAAGAAGGCCUUCGGGUUGUAAAGCCCUUUUGUUGGGAAAGAAAUCCAGCUGGCUAAUACCCGGUUGGGAUGACGGUACCCAAAGAAUAAGCACCGGCUAACUUCGUGCCAGCCGCCGCCGUAA